GGGUUUCUCUUUAUAAAAGAAGAUGGUCUCGCGAGACUUAUUCACUACCACGAGAACAGUAUGGGGGAACCGCCCCCAUGAUUCAAUUAUCUGCCACUGAUUCCCUUCCACAACACCUGGGAAUUACCGGAGCUACAAUUCAAGAUGAGAUUUCUGUGGGGACACAGCCAAACCAUAUCAGAAUGAGAAAGCAAUUCAAGGCAGAGAGUAAAACCUGUGCAUAGCUAUGGAAUCCUAAAUAUUCUGACGUCAUCAAGGAACUGCAGGAUGCCCCGCGUUCCUGAAGAACAGGGUGCAUGGUGGGAGGGCAGGUGCUGGCAAGUCCGUGUGGAGUGGGCACGGCAAACACCCAGCAGAGUUCCUGUUUUAGUUGGCUUCUCUUCAUUGGAAGAAACAGAUUCACUCAAGUGACUUCAAGAAGAAUAGAGUUUAUUAUGAGGAUGCAGGUAAAAGAGCAUUUGUGGGGCCGGGCUCGGUGUCUCACACCUGUAAUCCCAGCACUUUGGGAGGCCAAGGCAGGUGGAUCACAAGGUCAGGAGUUCAAGACCAGCCU
This 553-nucleotide long non-coding RNA is filed under the name Homo sapiens (human). RNAcentral's name for it is "HSALNT0205766". Lineage: Eukaryota; Metazoa; Chordata; Mammalia; Primates; Hominidae. The record is from RNAcentral.